Molecule: ribosomal RNA, 738 nt
Filed under: uncultured Acaulosporaceae
Lineage: Eukaryota; Fungi; Glomeromycota; Glomeromycetes; Diversisporales; Acaulosporaceae
Description: partial 18S ribosomal RNA
Rfam family: Eukaryotic small subunit ribosomal RNA (bases 1-650)
Source: RNAcentral
UUGGAGGGCAAGUCUGGUGCCAGCAGCCGCGGUAAUUCCAGCUCCAAUAGCGUAUAUUAAAGUUGUUGCAGCUAAAAAGCUCGUAGUUGAAUUUCGGGGUUCAUCCGUUGGUCGGGCUUUUUGGUCUGUACUGGCGUGAUGGAUUCCUACCUUCUGAAUAACCAGCAUGUCAUUAAUUUGGUGCGCUGGGGAAGCAGGACUGUUACCUUGAAAAAAUUAGAGUGCUUAAAGCAGGCUAUCGCCUGAAUACAUUAGCAUGGAAUAAUGAAAUAGGACGGCAUGGUUCUAUUUUGUUGGUUUCUAGGAUCACCGUAAUGAUUAAUAGGGAUAGUUGGGGGCAUUAGUAUUCAAUUGUCAGAGGUGAAAUUCUUGGAUUUAUUGGAGACUAACUUCUGCGAAAGCAUUUGCCAAGGAUGUUUUCAUUAAUCAAGAACGAAAGUUAGGGGAUCGAAGACGAUCAGAUAACCCGGUCGUUAGGUUCCUUUAAAACCCAAUUAAAAAACCCUUAAAUUUACGGUACCCCCGGGAAAACCCCUUUUUAAAACGGGGGGGGGGGAAAAGUUUUUAACCCCCGGGGGGGGGUAAAAACCCCGGGGGUAAAACGUUUUUAACGGGGGGGUUUUUUUUUAAAAAAAAACGUUUUUUUUUUUUUUUUUUUUUUUUUAAAAAAAAACGUUUUUAAAGGGGGGUUUUAAAAAAACCCCCUUUUUACCCCCGGGGGGUUUUUUUUUAACCCCC